GGCAGAGGGAAUUCUUCUCUAACCCUAUUUCUUCGAAUCAGCCCCGAUGGCGAAUCCUGCCGCUUCCCCCUUGAAGAAGGUGAAGGAUUUCUGGGACGCUCAGGUCAACGACGAGCAGAAGUGGGCCUUCAAUUCGAAGUUGAUUCGUGCGGUCCUAGUUUUUGGUGGCUCGGUGGUUCUCAUGCGCAAUUUUGGGGAUCUAAUGGCCAUCUGAAGAAAAAUGAAGUGCCCGGGACAGUGCUUUAGACUUUUAAUAUGCUGGGAACUCUGUAGCCCCGCAGUACUUUUUCUCCUUGGUUUAAUUUCAUU
RNAcentral lists this unclassified non-coding RNA (309 nucleotides) under Hevea brasiliensis (rubber tree). The record is from RNAcentral. Lineage: Eukaryota; Viridiplantae; Streptophyta; Magnoliopsida; Malpighiales; Euphorbiaceae.